This 20-nucleotide small RNA is filed under the name Arabidopsis thaliana (thale cress). Its description in RNAcentral is "ATSL060290". Lineage: Eukaryota; Viridiplantae; Streptophyta; Magnoliopsida; Brassicales; Brassicaceae. The record is from RNAcentral.
AGCAGAAGAAGAAGAAGAGA